This 254-nucleotide ribosomal RNA is filed under the name uncultured bacterium. RNAcentral describes it as "partial 16S ribosomal RNA". It matches the Rfam family "Bacterial small subunit ribosomal RNA", at positions 524 to 776 of the family's 1533-position model. The record is from RNAcentral.
CACGUAGGGUGCGAGCGUUGUCCGGAAUUAUUGGGCGUAAAGAGCUCGUAGGCGGUGUGUCGCGUCGGCCGUGAAAACUUGCAGCUUAACUGUGGGCGUGCGGUCGAUACGGGCAUCACUGGAGUUCGGCAGGGGAGACUGGAAUUCCUGGUGUAGCGGUGAAAUGCGCAGAUAUCAGGAGGAACACCAGCGGCGAAGGCGGGUAGCUGGGCCAACACUGACGCUGAUGUGCGAAAGCUAGGGGAGCAAACGGG